RNAcentral lists this ribosomal RNA (465 nucleotides) under uncultured bacterium. RNAcentral describes it as "partial 16S ribosomal RNA". It matches the Rfam family "Bacterial small subunit ribosomal RNA", at positions 28 to 507 of the family's 1533-position model. The record is from RNAcentral.
GAUGAACGCUGGCGGCGUGCUUAACACAUGCAAGUCGAACGGAAAGGCUCCUGCUUGCGGGGGUACUCGAGUGGCGAACGGGUGAGUAACACGUGGGUGAUCUGCCCUGCACUUCGGGAUAAGCCUGGGAAACUGGGUCUAAUACCGGAUAGGACGAUGGUUUGGAUGCCAUUGUGGAAAGUUUUUCGGUGUGGGAUGAGCUCGCGGCCUAUCAGCUUGUUGGUGGGGUAAUGGCCUACCAAGGCGUCGACGGGUAGCCGGCCUGAGAGGGUGUACGGCCACAGUGGGACUGAGAGAAGGCGCAGACUGCGACGGGGGGCGGGAGGGGGGAGGGGGGCACAAGGGGCGGAAGCAGGAUGCAGCAAAGCCGCGGGCGGGAUGAAGGGCUGCGGGGUGGAAACAGAUUUCGCCGGGGACGAAGCGGGAGUGACGGUAAUGGGUAAAGAAGCAAGGGCUAACUACGUG